GACGAACGCUGGCGGCGUGCUUAACACAUGCAAGUCGAACGGAAAGGCCCUGCUUUUGUGGGGUGCUCGAGUGGCGAACGGGUGAGUAACACGUGAGUAACCUGGCCUUGACUUUGGGAUAACUUCAGGAAACUGGGGCUAAUACCGGAUAGGAGCUCCUGCUGCAUGGUGGGGGUUGGAAAGUUUCGGCGGUUGGGGAUGGACGCGCGGCUUAUCAGCUUGUUGGUGGGGGAGUGGCUUACCAAGGCUUCGACGGGUAGCCGGCCUGAGAGGGUGACCGGCCACCUUGGGACUGAGAUACGGCCCAGACUCCUACGGGAGGCAGCAGUGGGGAAUCUUGCACAAUGGGCGGAAGCCUGAUGCAGCAACGCCGCGUGCGGGAUGACGGCCUUCGGGUUGUAAACCGCUUUCGCCUGUGACGAAGCGUGAGUGACGGUAAUGGGUAAAGAAGCACCGGCUAACUACGUG
Molecule: ribosomal RNA, 468 nt
Filed under: uncultured bacterium
Lineage: Bacteria
Description: partial 16S ribosomal RNA
Rfam family: Bacterial small subunit ribosomal RNA
Source: RNAcentral